Peromyscus maniculatus bairdii (prairie deer mouse) is the source of this 2602-nucleotide long non-coding RNA. RefSeq lists it as uncharacterized. NCBI's taxonomy places the organism in Eukaryota, Metazoa, Chordata, Mammalia, Rodentia, Cricetidae. The record is from RefSeq and is a predicted model, not a curated record.
GCAAGGCAUAUAGGCGUGGGUAGAUAGAAAGUAACUCGCAUUUGGAAGCUGUAGAGUUGAGCAAAUAGAACAGUGACUAAGACACCGUGUUAUGCUUGGAAGAUAUUUGGAAAAAGCAUGGUAACAUAGACCUGGUAUACACACACCACCUAAGACAAAGGAUUCAAGAGAGGUAAAUACUCUACAGAUUUUAGAUGUUUCUUUUAAAAGAUGAGUGUGGAGAAGAACAGGCAUACUUGAAAGAUGAAUAGAGUCUAGACAAUCAGGACUCUAACAAGGUUGAAAACAAACAAACAGAAAAGUGCUUUUAUAACUGUAAGAGCUGAUGUGUUCCCAUUAGGAACUUUCACUCAGAGUCAUACUCUACUUAUCUCAUAGAGAGAAAAUGUUGCCUUUCUAACCAAACCUACUCUUUAAAAUGUCUCGUGGAAUUAAUGACUGUGUUUAGAAAAUGGCAAAACAACAAAGAGUCACAAGGGUAACAGGCUAAUUGUCCAGAAAGGGUACUGGAUAUGAUUCCUAACAUGUCACUGACUGUGAGCAAACAGAGCAAAAGCCUUCUAUGUGUCUACGGAAGCCAUUGCCAAAGACUCAGCCUGGGUUACAAAGACCUGGGAUAUUUGACUUUGUUCUCAGAUUUCUACCAGUAGAGAAAGUGGAGCAUGAGAAAGCCCUCAGACAGAAAGAACUACUUACUCUUUGCACAUGACCGUGAAGAAAAGGAGACAAAGAAGACCCUUCAAAGGAUAGACUCAGAGGCCAAAUAGAAAACCAGCUGAGGGUUGACUUAUGAAAAGAACUAUUCAUCUCUGAGUUCUGGGUUUGAACUGGUGUAGGCUAUCUCCCACAAAGACCAGGAGAGAGAAGUGUGUCCUAUAGGAAGGAGGAAGAGCUGGGUGGAUAUCUGGAAACCAGGGUCCCGGAGAGAGCUGGCUGUCCACCAGAGUCCGUUCUCUCCUUGAUCUGGAUUUGAUAGAAAAUGUCCCCCACCAGCUCGUGUGUUUGAACACUUGGUCCGAGCUAGGAGAAUGCUUGUGGAGGUUGUGGAAUCCUUAGAAGGUGGAUCUACUGGAGAAAGUAGGUUGUAACAGUGUUCCCCUGAGUGCACGUUAUCUCCAGAUUCUCCUACUUGGCUUUCCCCGUUCCUGGACCACUGAGGUGUGAGGAGCCCUGCCACACACAGCUCCCACAAGGAACUCUUUCAUGCCGUCUCUGCAGUGAUGGGCUGAGUCCUCUCAAUCAACCCUCCCUUAAGUAGCGUCUUUGCAGGUGAUGGCCACAGAGACAAGAAAAGUGUGAGAAUUUAGAAGUCAGUUUAUGAUGUCUAUGCUGCUUUAUCAGCCAGCAGCCCUGAAAAUAAAACCAAAAACGAGACAGGAGGAAGACCCCACCACCACCACCACCGCUUUACAAUGCUCCCUUCGACUCCGCCUGCCACCCUACAUCCCCAUCAUGGAACCCUUGCCCUGGAUUGCUUAAGUUUCUGACAGGUGUGAUAACCUGACCAACUAGGGGAUUCGCAUGGAGAACAGAACUGCCAUUAGGGUCUUCCCUGUCCAUGGACGUCCUCUGUUCAAGUGAUGGCAGCACUCGUGAGACCUGUGAUUGAUGGCGUCACGUACCUGUACAUGCUGAAGACUGUGUUGCCAUUGUGCAUGAGGUACACGUACACUUCCUCCACAUCCUCGUGCUUCAUCAUGCUGAAGGUGAAGAAGUACACACCUGGGAAGGACAAGGAUUUACUCAUUCACUCAUACACUGAAGAUAAGUCAGAUGAUUUCACACACGGCUUGGUUGGAGUCUAUGUAUUGUGUGAUUUUGUGGCCUGUUCAUAUGAAUAUACUUUCGUCUACUCGCCUUAAAAGUACUUUGAUUUUUUUGUUUGUUCGUUUGUUUUUAUUUUUUCAAGACAGGGUUUCUCUGUGUAACCAUCCUGGCUGUCCUGGAAUUUGCUUUAUAGACCAGGCUGGCCUUGAACUCACUGAGAUUCUCCUGCCUCUGCCUCCCAAGUGCUGGGAUCAAAGGGGUGCGCCGUCACACCCAGUGCUUUGAUCAUCUUUAACUCAUUGUGUUUCCUAUUUAUACUUAGGAAGAUUAUAAAAACCAUUGAGAAAACUAGUCAAACAUGAAAUUAAAAUGGACAACCACAUUCCCCAAAUGUAGCCAUGGUGGUAGAAUAUUAAAGCAUAAGUCCCGUGGUUCUAAAUAAACAGUUCAGGUCAUUUCUCAUAUGACACAUUGUAAAUCAGUAAAAUAAUGUUUAAAUAAAAAUAUUCAACUUUAACCCUGCCACAACACCUUGUUAGUAAAAGUAUAUUCUUGCUGAUUUCCAUGUUUCAGGUUUUGAACUACUAGCUAUACAAGAGAAGAAAACAGAAAUAUCUACAAGAAAAAACUAAAGAAGCAAUGGGCCAUUCAUGUUUCUUUUCUAUAAAGAUAUCAGCUAUGAAGAUCCUUUUGAUGUUGAGUGACAAAAGAACAAUUAUGCUUUGUUACGUGUCGGGGAUGCAUAUUUGAUAGCAAUCAGUGAUGCCCAUUCCAAUACCUGGAGACUGGUUCAUAGAUGAAAAGCAAAGACAUGAAAAUUAAAGGAUUUCAAGAG